Molecule: long non-coding RNA, 920 nt
Filed under: Homo sapiens (human)
Lineage: Eukaryota; Metazoa; Chordata; Mammalia; Primates; Hominidae
Description: HSALNT0041931
Source: RNAcentral
UGGAGGAACAAAAGUGGGUGGUGUAACAGAGCCUGAGAUCUGAGUGGACCCAGUGGAAGGUAAACCACAGUGGGUCUUCCGGUAGAAGGUGAGAUCAUUAGGGGAGGGACUAUCCAGCAGGACCCAGACGCAUGGACCUGGAGCCGAGGAGGAAAAGUACCCACCACUGGGGAUACCACCUGUAGGAGUAAGGAAAAAGAAGAGGGAAGAGAGGAACCUAUAAAGGAAGGCCAGUGUAAAACUCAGUCUUUGGCUUCUGAUGAGUCUACCAUGAUACUGACAACCUACCAGCUGAAGAGAAGUCUCUACAUGGACUGUGCAAAAGAGAUUCAGAGGCGUCUACUGAAUUUCAACCAUAAAUUGUCUAGUAUAAAGGAAGAUAAGUGUCCCUGCUGAAGAAGAAUGGAAACAUAAUGGAAUCAAUUCGGUGUGUCUGUGGAAAGAACUUAUUUCUCCAUUCCCCCAGGAUCCAGGCAAGUGGCAAUUCUCUUAUCUAUGCUAAAUAGUCGAAGGCAUCCUCACCACUUACUCAGAAUAAUCCUUUUUUAAUAGCAGAGAAGUCUCAUCCAGAAAAGUGUUGUAAGAAAAUAUAUUGUGGGAGCCAGGAUUCUCUUCGGGGCAUAGAGAAUUUUGUAACAGUGAAGGGAAUUUUAUCAUCUUUCUCUUGAAAACAAUUCCUUUACUGUCUCUUGGGCAUAUUGAUGACCACAUAAUAGUUAUAAAGUUCCCUAUUUCCUUUCCAAAAGGGAAAAUGGGAUAAUCAGUAGAAGAUAGGGGAUGACAAAAAGACACAUAGGUGGCCUCCUUUGAUAUGAUGGGCCGGUUAAAGGGUAAAUUGUUGUGGGGUAUUAAACACCACCAUCCAUGAUGAGGAGAAUUAACAAGGGAAUUCCCAUGCAGUAAGAUAAUGAAGACCUGGG